AGANUAGCCGGUCUCCGAAUGCCUUAGAUUAAGUUGAUCAUGGCUCAGAGCNAACGCUGUUAGGUAGCCUAACACAUGCAAGUCGAACGGCAGCACAGGAGAGCUUGCUCUCUGGGUGGCGAGUGGCGGACGGGUGAGGAAUACAUCGGAAUCUACUCUGUCGUGGGGGAUAACGUAGGGAAACUUACGCUAAUACCGCAUACGACCUACGGGUGAAAGCAGGGGACCUUCGGGCCUUGCGCGAUUGAAUAGAGCCGAUGUCGGAUUAGCUAGUNUGGCGGGGUAAAGGCCCACCAAGGCGACGAUNCCGUAGCUGGUCUGAGAGGAUGAUCAGCCACACUGGAACUGAGACACGGUCCAGACUCCUACGAGGAGGCAAGCAGUGGGGAAUAUUGGACAAUGGGCGCAAGCCUGAUACAGCCAUACCCGCGUGGGUGAAGGAANG
This 445-nucleotide ribosomal RNA is filed under the name uncultured bacterium. Its description in RNAcentral is "bacterial SSU rRNA". It matches the Rfam family "Bacterial small subunit ribosomal RNA", at positions 1 to 415 of the family's 1533-position model. The record is from RNAcentral.